This 250-nucleotide ribosomal RNA is filed under the name uncultured prokaryote. RNAcentral describes it as "partial 16S ribosomal RNA". It matches the Rfam family "Bacterial small subunit ribosomal RNA", at positions 524 to 773 of the family's 1533-position model. The record is from RNAcentral.
UACGGGGGGUGCAAGCGUUGUCCGGAAUCAUUGGGCGUAAAGCGUUCGUAGGCGGUACAUUAAGUCUGGUGUUAAAUACUUGGGCUCAACUCAGGUUCGGCAUUGGAUACUGGUGAACUAGAAUAUGGCAGAGGUUAAGGGAAUUCCUGGUGUAGCGGUGAAAUGCGUAGAUAUCAGGAGGAACACCGGAGGCGAAAGCGCUUAACUGGGCCAAAAUUGACGCUGAGGAACGAAAGCCGGGGGAGCAAAU